Molecule: non-coding RNA, 146 nt
Filed under: human gut metagenome
Source: RNAcentral
AGGUGCCGCAAGGCAUAAUAGGGAAGAUCGGUGUGAUGCCGACACGGUCCCGCCACUGUGAAGCGGAGCGAGUUUUCAUAACCAUUGGGAAACCGAGAAGGGAAAACAAGCGAGGAUGCGAAGUCAGGAGACCUGCCUGUUAGGAU